AUUGAACGCUGGCGGCAGGCUUAACACAUGCAAGUCGAGCGGGGUGAUGGUGCUUGCACUAUCACUUAGCGGCGGACGGGUGAGUAAUGCUUAGGAAUCUGCCUAUUAGUGGGGGACAAUAUCUCGAAAGGGAUGCUAAUACCGCAUACGUCCUACGGGAGAAAGCAGGGGAUCACUCGUGACCUUGCGCGAAUAGAUGAGCCUAAGUCGGAUUAGCUAGUUGGUGGGGUAAAGGCCUACCAAGGCGACGAUCUGUAGCGGGUCUGAGAGGAUGAUCCGCCACACUGGGACUGAGACACGGCCCAGACUCCUACGGGAGGCAGCAGUGGGGAAUAUUGGACAAUGGGGGGAACCCUGAUCCAGCCAUGCCGCGUGUGUGAAGAAGGCCUUAUGGUUGUAAAGCACUUUAAGCGAGGAGGAGGCUCUUUUGGUUAAUACCCAAGAUGAGUGGACGUUACUCGCAGAAUAAGCACCGGCUAACUCUGUGCCAGCAGCCGCAGUAA
This 503-nucleotide ribosomal RNA is filed under the name uncultured bacterium. RNAcentral's name for it is "partial 16S ribosomal RNA". It matches the Rfam family "Bacterial small subunit ribosomal RNA", at positions 30 to 523 of the family's 1533-position model. The record is from RNAcentral.